Molecule: ribosomal RNA, 403 nt
Filed under: uncultured bacterium
Lineage: Bacteria
Description: bacterial SSU rRNA
Rfam family: Bacterial small subunit ribosomal RNA
Source: RNAcentral
UAGGGAAUAUUGCUUAAUGGGCGCAAGCCUGAAGCAGCAACGCCGCGUGUGCGAUGACGGCCUUCGGGUUGUAAAGCACUUUUCACCGGGAAGAGGAAGGACGGUACCGGUGGAAUAAGCCUCGGCUAACUACGUGCCAGCAGCCGCGGUAAUACGGAGGAUCCGAGCGUUAUCCGGAUUUACUGGGUUUAAAGGGUGCGUAGGCGGCCCUGCAAGUCAGCGGUGAAAUGUGGCGGCUCAACCGUUUCGCUGCCGCUGAUACUGUAGGGCUUGGAUGCGGUCGAGGCGGGUGGAAUUCGUGGUGUAGCGGUGAAAUGCAUAGAUAUCACGAGGAACGCCGAUAGCGAAGGCAGCUCGCCGGGCCGCGAUCGACGCUGAGGCACGAAAGCGUGGGGAUCAAACA